RNAcentral lists this ribosomal RNA (1502 nucleotides) under Rahnella perminowiae. Its description in RNAcentral is "partial 23S ribosomal RNA". It matches the Rfam family "Bacterial large subunit ribosomal RNA", at positions 1 to 1547 of the family's 2925-position model. The record is from RNAcentral. Lineage: Bacteria; Pseudomonadati; Pseudomonadota; Gammaproteobacteria; Enterobacterales; Yersiniaceae.
GGUUAAGCGACUAAGCGUACACGGUGGAUGCCUAGGCAGUCAGAGGCGAUGAAGGGCGUGCUAAUCUGCGAAAAGCGUCGGUAAGGUGAUAUGAACCGUUAUACCCGACGAUACCCGAAUGGGGAAACCCAGUGUGCUCCGGCACAUUAUCGUUAGAUGAAUACAUAGUCUAACGAGGCGAACCGGGGGAACUGAAACAUCUAAGUACCCCGAGGAAAAGAAAUCAACCGAGAUUCCCCCAGUAGCGGCGAGCGAACGGGGAAGAGCCCAGAACCUGAAUCAGUUUGUGUGUUAGUGGAAGCGUCUGGAAAGUCGCACGGUACAGGGUGAUAGUCCCGUACACAAAAAUGCACAGGCUGUGAGUUCGAUGAGUAGGGCGGGACACGUGACAUCCUGUCUGAAUAUGGGGGGACCAUCCUCCAAGGCUAAAUACUCCUGACUGACCGAUAGUGAACCAGUACCGUGAGGGAAAGGCGAAAAGAACCCCGGCGAGGGGAGUGAAAUAGAACCUGAAACCGUGUACGUACAAGCAGUGGGAGCCUACUUGUUAGGUGACUGCGUACCUUUUGUAUAAUGGGUCAGCGACUUAUAUUUUGUAGCAAGGUUAACCGAAUAGGGGAGCCGUAGGGAAACCGAGUCUUAACUGGGCGUCAAGUUGCAAGGUAUAGACCCGAAACCCGGUGAUCUAGCCAUGGGCAGGUUGAAGGUUGGGUAACACUAACUGGAGGACCGAACCGACUAAUGUUGAAAAAUUAGCGGAUGACUUGUGGCUGGGGGUGAAAGGCCAAUCAAACCGGGAGAUAGCUGGUUCUCCCCGAAAGCUAUUUAGGUAGCGCCUCGUGAACUCAUCUUCGGGGGUAGAGCACUGUUUCGACUAGGGGGCCAUCCCGGCUUACCAACUCGAUGCAAACUACGAAUACCGAAGAAUGUUAUCACGGGAGACACACGGCGGGUGCUAACGUCCGUCGUGAAGAGGGAAACAACCCAGACCGCCAGCUAAGGUCCCAAAGUCAUGGUUAAGUGGGAAACGAUGUGGGAAGGCAUAGACAGCCAGGAUGUUGGCUUAGAAGCAGCCAUCAUUUAAAGAAAGCGUAAUAGCUCACUGGUCGAGUCGGCCUGCGCGGAAGAUGUAACGGGGCUAAACCAUGCACCGAAGCUGCGGCAGCGACGCUUAGGCGUUGUUGGGUAGGGGAGCGUUCUGUAAGCCGUCGAAGGUGAACUGUGAGGUUUGCUGGAGGUAUCAGAAGUGCGAAUGCUGACAUAAGUAACGAUAAUGCGGGUGAAAAACCCGCACGCCGGAAGACCAAGGGUUCCUGUCCAACGUUAAUCGGGGCAGGGUGAGUCGACCCCUAAGGCGAGGCUGAAAAGCGUAGUCGAUGGGAAGCUGGUUAAUAUUCCAGCACUUGGUGUUACUGCGAAGGGGGGACGGAGAAGGCUAGGCUGGCCGGGCGACGGUUGUCCCGGUUCAAGCGUGUAGGGGGUGUGACCUGGUAAAUCCGGUU